RNAcentral lists this ribosomal RNA (189 nucleotides) under uncultured bacterium. RNAcentral describes it as "partial 16S ribosomal RNA". It matches the Rfam family "Bacterial small subunit ribosomal RNA", at positions 1304 to 1500 of the family's 1533-position model. The record is from RNAcentral.
GCUGAAACCCGCCUCCAUGAAGUUGGAUUCGCUAGUAAUCGCGCAUCAGCCAUGGCGCGGUGAAUACGUUCCCGGGCCUUGUACACACCGCCCGUCAAGCCAUGGGAGCCGGGGGUGCCUGAAGUUCGUGACCGCAAGGAGCGACCUAGGGCAAAACUGGUGACUGGGGCUAAGUCGUAACAAGGUAAC